Molecule: transfer RNA, 75 nt
Filed under: Methylomusa anaerophila
Lineage: Bacteria; Bacillati; Bacillota; Negativicutes; Selenomonadales; Sporomusaceae
Description: tRNA-Arg
Rfam family: tRNA
About the family: Transfer RNA (tRNA) molecules are approximately 80 nucleotides in length.
Source: RNAcentral
GCGCCCGUAGCUCAGGGGAUAGAGCGCCGGCCUCCGGAGCCGGGUGCGUAGGUUCGAUUCCUACCGGGCGCACCA